Pyrus x bretschneideri (Chinese white pear) is the source of this 162-nucleotide small nuclear RNA. RefSeq annotates it as U1 spliceosomal RNA. The record is from RefSeq and is a predicted model, not a curated record. The transcript has a single exon. NCBI's taxonomy places the organism in Eukaryota, Viridiplantae, Streptophyta, Magnoliopsida, Rosales, Rosaceae.
AUACUUACCUGGACAAGGUCGAUGGGUGAUCAGGAAGGUCCAUGGCCUAGAGUUGGUGACCUCCAUUGCACGUAGGAGGGGUGCCACUCUAUGGUCUCCCCAAGAGGGAGAACCAAUGUCGUAAUUUGUGUCAGCGGGGGCCUGCGUUCGCGCGGCCCCUGA